AUCCAGCUGACGAGUCCCAAACAGGGCCGAUGACGCGUCCUGGAU
Schistosoma rodhaini is the source of this 45-nucleotide non-coding RNA. The record is from Rfam. Lineage: Eukaryota; Metazoa; Platyhelminthes; Trematoda; Strigeidida; Schistosomatidae.